UACGAAGGGGGGCUAGCGUUGCUCGGAAUCACUGGGCGUAAAGCGCACGUAGGCGGAUCUUUAAGUCAGGGGUGAAAUCCCAAGGCUCAACCUUGGAACUGCUGGGCAUACUGGGCGUCUUGGGCCAACUAGGGGCAGCCGGAACAAGCGGUGGAGCGGUGAAAUGCGUAGAUAUCGCUUGGAACGCCGAAGGUGAAAACAGGCUGCUGGGGUUGCGCCGACGCUGAGACACGAAAGCCAGGGGAGCAAACGGG
Molecule: ribosomal RNA, 254 nt
Filed under: uncultured bacterium
Lineage: Bacteria
Description: partial 16S ribosomal RNA
Rfam family: Bacterial small subunit ribosomal RNA
Source: RNAcentral